UGAUUGCUCUCGUCUCUACUUGAUUUGU
RNAcentral lists this small RNA (28 nucleotides) under Bombyx mori (domestic silkworm). RNAcentral describes it as "ovarian small RNA-33120". Lineage: Eukaryota; Metazoa; Arthropoda; Insecta; Lepidoptera; Bombycidae. The record is from RNAcentral.